RNAcentral lists this ribosomal RNA (253 nucleotides) under uncultured bacterium. RNAcentral's name for it is "partial 16S ribosomal RNA". It matches the Rfam family "Bacterial small subunit ribosomal RNA", at positions 524 to 776 of the family's 1533-position model. The record is from RNAcentral.
UACGUAGGGCGCAAGCGUUGUCCGGAAUUAUUGGGCGUAAAGAGCGUGUAGGCGGUUCGGUAAGUCUGCCGUGAAAACCCAGGGCUCAACCCUGGGCGUGCGGUGGAUACUGCCGGGCUAGAGGGUGGUAGAGGCGAGUGGAAUUCCCGGUGUAGCGGUGAAAUGCGCAGAUAUCGGGAGGAACACCAGUAGCGAAGGCGGCUCGCUGGGCCAUACCUGACGCUGAGACGCGAAAGCGUGGGGAGCAAACAGG